Molecule: ribosomal RNA, 253 nt
Filed under: uncultured bacterium
Lineage: Bacteria
Description: partial 16S ribosomal RNA
Rfam family: Bacterial small subunit ribosomal RNA
Source: RNAcentral
UACAGAGGUCUCAAGCGUUGUUCGGAUUCAUUGGGCGUAAAGGGCGCGUAGGCUGCGGGGCAAGUCGGGUGUGAAAUCUCAGAGCUCAACUCUGAAACUGCACUCGAUACUGCUUUGCUUGAGGACUGGAGAGGAGAUUGGAAUUCACGGUGUAGCAGUGAAAUGCGCAGAUAUCGGGAGGAACACCGGUGGCGAAGGCGGUUCUCUGGGCCUUACCUGACGCUGAGGAGCGAAAGCGUGGGGAGCGAACAGG